Podarcis muralis (Common wall lizard) is the source of this 4415-nucleotide long non-coding RNA. NCBI's taxonomy places the organism in Eukaryota, Metazoa, Chordata, Lepidosauria, Squamata, Lacertidae. The record is from Ensembl.
AUGGAGGAGCCAGAUUACUACUGCUUCCAAGUGUUUUCUCUAUGGCUUCGACGCGUCCGAGAAAGUCUGGAGGAGAUCUGGGAAGGGAAGAGGAGCCGGGUGCUGGCAGACCAGUCUAGACUUCUCGAGAGACUGACCCAGUUCCUCUGGAACAAUGCAGAGAGCCCGGUAAUGGUACCUUUUUCAUUUCACCUGGGCCUUCUUGUAUCUUGCCAAAGCUGCACUUGCAGAGGAGGCUUAAUGUUAAUUUUUAAGAAAACCAAACGCCUAUAUUUAACAAAAACAACCUUGUGCAACAGCAAGAGCUAAGCAGACCAAAAAUCAAGGGUACCACUUAGAUCAGAGGGUAUUCAAUAAGGGGCCCUCCAGAUGUUGUUGGACUGUAGCAGGGUGGAUUUGAUUUAAAUCAAAUAGAUUUAAAUCACUAUUUGAAUCAUGAUUUAAAUCACGAGUCAGUAAGACUUGAUUUAAAUCAUUUUCCCCCAGAGAUACUCAUUCUUGCUGGUAUAAUUUAAUAUUUACAACCAGAUAAAGGUUUCAUUUUUGGAAUAAUAAAUUUUCAGAGUAGUUUUUACAGUUAGAUCAAAACUACUGAUUUGGUUAUACUAUUAGAAAUACAUAGACAGAUAAUUACGAAAUUAUUGUGAGGUUUAGGAAGUUAACUGUUUAUAUUUGGACAACUUUUCUGCUGUACUUUAAUGGAAGGAGAAAAAUAACCAUGUCCUUAAUAAGAAUUUGAACAAUUAAUGUAACUAGAAUAACAACAUUACAGCAUAUGUAUCCAUGUUUGUUAACUGAUGUGGUUAAACAAUUUUUAAAAAAAACAAACAAACCUCAGACUGAGUUUUAGCACACAUGAAAAACUUAAAACAAAUCCUUCUUUCCUGAUGAAUAGCCUUUGGACUAUAUUGUAACUUAAAUAGAAAACUAUAGAAUGAUUUUUCCUCCAAAAGCAUUUUAUUUUAAAAAUCCAAUUUAAAUUUUUAAAAAUCUGAUAAAAAAACUUAUUUAAAUCAAAAAAAUCUGAUUUAAAUUUUUAAAAAUCUAAGUAAAAUUUUUUUUAAUUUUUAAUUUUUUAAAUAAAAAAAAAUCAUUGAUUUUUAUCCACCCUGGACUGCAGCAGGGGAUAGCUCAGUCAAUAGAGCACACAAGACUCUUAAUCUCAGACUGUUAGAAAGUUGUGGCUUUGAGCCCCACUUUGGGCAGAAAGAUUCCUGCAUUGCAGGGGGUUGGACUAGAUGACCCUCGUGGUCCCUUCCAACCCUACGAUUCUAUGAUUCGUACAUAAUAAUGUUACUUUCCCACCCCUCCUCUGCCCACACUGUUCAGGUGGAACGGGUGUCUGAUUUCAUCCACAGCUCCUUCCAGCUCCUCCUGGAGAUCUACAGCUUAGAGUGUGAUCGCUUUGAGGACCUGGAGAGACCCCUCUAUGGUCAGUUCCUCCAGAGAGUCACCCUGAUGCCCUGGCAGGCCAGAGCCCGGUAUUUUCCUCUCAUUUCGGUUCUGCCCUACCUGGGUCCUGAAAAGGUAAGGGGACGACGGCGUUGGUGUGUGAGUGCGGAGCUCAGCCCAUAAUACUCUGAAAACAGAAAGGGUCAGGUAGCUGGAGAUGGAAAUUGCCCUCUUUGUUAAUUUCUUAAAAACAAAACCCACCAAAACCUUUCUCUUUUUUACUGCUUUUGUACGUGCCAUAAUACGAGCCGAUUUCACCUCUGUGUGUGUGUGUUUUUUAAUUAUUUUUAUUAAGAUUUAAGAACACCAACACCACCACCACCAACCAACAAAAACAUCACAUCUUAUUACAUAUAUCCCAUUUUAUGCUCCAUAGAGCUGUUGACUUCCGUCCUUCCCUUCCGCAAGUUUUCUUAUUCCCAUCUUUAGUUCACAGUUUCAUUGAUUAAACAUUACACCAUGACAUAAGAUUUAAUUCAAUCCUGCCAACGUUUUCAUAUUUCUACAGUUCUCACUUAUAUAUACCAUAAAUUUACUCCAUUAUUUUUGGUACUUCGUCUCCUCCUGAUUGCGAAUUCUGUGUGUCAAUUUUGCCAUUUCAGCGUAUUCGACCAGCUUUAUCUGCCAUUCCCUUACAGUCGGAAUUUCCUGUAACUUCCACUUCUGGGCUAUCAAAACUCUGGCUGCUGUUGUUGCAUACAGAUAUAAUCUUUGAUCUGACUUCUUAAUAUCUUCCCCCACCAAACCUAGCAAAAAUUCUUCCGGCUUUUUUGGAAAAGUGUAUUUAAACAUCUUUACCUGUGUGUUUCUAUGCACCAGUGCUAUAACAGAUUAUACAGUCAUACCUUGAUUUUCAAACGCCUUGGGAGUCAAACGUUUCAGCUCCCGAACAAUCAAAAACCAGAAGUGAUUGUUCCAGUUUUCAAACGUUCUCAGGAACCCGGACGUCCAACAUGACAUCCACAGCUUCUGAUUGGCUGCAGGAGCUUCCUGCAGCCAAUCGGAAGCUGAGCCUUGGUUUCCAAACGUUUUGGAAGUCGAAUGGCCUUCUGGAACAGAUUCUGUUUGACUUCCGAGGUACCACUGUAUUGUUACAACUGUGUUUGCCAAACUUGGGUCCUCCAGCUGUUUUUCGACCACAACUCCCAUCAUCCCUAGCUGGCAGGACUCGUGGUCAGGAACGAUGAGAAUUGUAGUUCAGAAACAGCAGGAGACCCAAGUUUGGGAAACAUUUGAGUUACCGGUAAAUCAAUAACCACUUUCAGUGUUUACAGAUCCCAUUGACUUUAGCAGUGGGGCGUAGCUCCGUGGUAGAACACCUGCUUUGCAUGCAGAAGGCCCCAGCAUCUCAGGUAGACCUGGGAGAGAAUCCUUGCCUGAAACCCUGUGUUGUAAACAAAAACUGCCCUUUUCCCUUAUGGGGUAUCCAAGAGCCCAUAUAGAGUCCUUACAUAGGUUCCCUAUUGGUAGGAGAGAAUAACAGAGGCCAACCAGAGAAUAUUGAGAAGCAAAGCAGCUAGUAAGCUUGAUCUUUAUUGAUCUGUUGCAACAGGGUGCUCCCCUCACCCACAGGAGAGACCCAGAAAAAUGGUGUGCAAGGCCUUAUAAAGACUUUUGAAAUUGCCACCCUGUAGAUCAAGACCACCCCCAGAAACAUCAUACAUACAUCACAGAAGGGAUGUAACCUAAGACCACCCCUCAGAUACAUCAUACCUACAUCACAAAAAAGGCGGUCUAAAACAGAAAUUUUAAUGUUGUUUUUCUCCUGUCGUUGUUUAUCUCCUGUCUGGUAGGUUACUUGAUUGGAUUGCCUGGGGAGCCUGGCCAGUCUUUUGUAGUGAUAAAUACUUAGUUCCUGGGCCAGGUCAUAGGCUCACACCCUAUUCAAACACAGACAUACCCUUAAGACAGGAUUUGUGAAGGAAAAGACAAUGGGGAGGCUUUUCCAUUUUGACCUUGCAGAGAAAAGAUUUGGUCAGUUUAGGAAUCAAAAUGGUUCCAGGUUGGCCUUCCUGUGCUGAUCUAUGUAUGUGCUUGGUUGGUACACUUAGGAACAAUACCAUAUAUCUAAGACCAUAAAAUUCCUAUCACACCUGGAGAGCUGCUGCCAGUCAGUGCAGUCGAUACUAAGCCAGAUGGACCAGGGAUCUGACAGGAUAAGGCAGCUUCUCCUGUUUCUGCUUAAUUCAGCCCUUUCUUGUGAAUCAUGAGGAAUAGAAUCUCACUCUCUUUUGAAGCGUUCCCAAAGUAAAGGAAGGAUUGAACUCUGAUUAAUAAGAAUACACACAGAGGCUUGAACCAGCAAGACUCUGGGAAGGGUGCAUCUAAUAAUCUCUGGCUCUACCCCUCGGCCCAGGUCAUUUUAUUCACAAAAGAACUUUUUACAGAGUGUUCAUAAGAACCAAUCCGAUUUCUUCUGAGCAUUUCAACAGACCCCACGUGGGGACAAAGUUAAACUACCAAAACGAAUUAAGCACACAUAUUUCUGGGGUAAACAAAACAGAACUACAAAGGAGUACAUUGGGCAACCCCUGAGGUCAUAAACAAGCAAUAUACAUGAUAAGAAGGAUGGCCAGGGAGACAGUGAUCAUUAUCACCUUCAGGUGAGAUCUGUUUCCUGGCCCUAAGAUUAACAUCCUAAGAUUAACAUAUCAGAAAAGCUACAUCAAAGAAACUGCCCACUGUCUUUUAUGACCCAGGAUGCCUGCCUGGCAAAGACUGGCCAUGUACGUGACUGGUCAAGAAAGAGAAAUGGAACAGGGAUGCGGAGGUGUGGAUUGAUCAAGAAUCAUAUCAAAAUAGUUCAAACCCAGUCAACCCAAUGCUUUCAUUGCUGACACUGAUGGCUUACUCUAUAUUUGUUAUAAUUCCUCAUAGCAAUCCCACCUGAUCACUACAUCUUUUUUUGCCAGCUUCCUGCGUUUCGUGCAGUUUGGUGACCUUGUGUUUGUGUAAAGACCCCU